RNAcentral lists this ribosomal RNA (449 nucleotides) under uncultured bacterium. RNAcentral's name for it is "partial 16S ribosomal RNA". It matches the Rfam family "Bacterial small subunit ribosomal RNA", at positions 29 to 523 of the family's 1533-position model. The record is from RNAcentral.
AAUGAACGCUGGCGGCAUGCCUAACACAUGCAAGUCGAACGAAGGCUUCGGCCUUAGUGGCGCACGGGUGCGUAACGCGUGGGAAUCUGCCCUCAGGUUCGGAAUAACAGCGAGAAAUUGCUGCUAAUACCGGAUGAUAUCGCGAGAUCAAAGAUUUAUCGCCUGAGGAUGAGCCCGCGUAGGAUUAGCUAGUUGGUGUGGUAAAGGCGCACCAAGGCGACGAUCCUUAGCUGGUCUGAGAGGAUGAUCAGCCACACUGGGACUGAGACACGGCCCAGACUCCGACGGGAGGCAGCAGUGGGGAAUAUUGGACAAUGGGCGAAAGCCUGAUCCAGCAAUGCCGCGUGAGUGAUGAAGGCCUUAGGGCUGUAAAGCUCUUUUACCCGGGAUGAUAAUGACAGUACCGGGAGAAUAAGCUCCGGCUAACUCCGUGCCAGCCGCCGCCGUAC